GAUGAACGCUGGCGGUAUGCCUAACACAUGCAAGUCGUACGAGAGUUUUUAACUCUAGUGGCGGACGGGUGAGUAACACGUGAGAAUUUGCCUUUAGGAGGGGGAUAACAAUUGGAAACGAAUGCUAAUACCCCAUAUGCUUUUGAGUGAAAUGGAUUUUAUCCGCCUAGAGAGAAGCUCGCGGCUGAUUAGCUUGUUGGUAAGGUAAGAGCUUACCAAGGCGACGAUCAGUAUCUGGUUUGAGAGGACGAUCAGACACACUGGAACUGAGACACGGUCCAGACUCCUACGGGAGGCAGCAGUGGGGAAUUUUCCGCAAUGGGCGAAAGCCUGACGGAGCAAUACCGCGUGAGUGAAGAAGGCCU
This 365-nucleotide ribosomal RNA is filed under the name uncultured bacterium. RNAcentral's name for it is "bacterial SSU rRNA". It matches the Rfam family "Bacterial small subunit ribosomal RNA", at positions 28 to 417 of the family's 1533-position model. The record is from RNAcentral.